UGAGUGCUAGGUGUUAGNUCCUUUCCGGGACUUAGUGCCGACGCUAACGCAUUAAGCACUCCGCCUGGGAGUACGACCGCAAGGUUGAAACUCAAAGGAAUUGACGGGGGCCCGCACAAGCGGUGGAGCAUGUGGUUUAAUUCGAAGCAACGCGAAGAACCUUACCAGGUCUUGACAUCCCGAUGCCCGCUCUAGAGAUAGAGUUUUACUUUUUGUACAUCGGAGACAGGUGGUGCAUGGUUGUCGUCAGCUCGUGUCGUGAGAUGUUGGGUUAANUNNNNCAACGAGCGCAACCCUUAUUGUUAGUUGCCAUCAUUAAGUUGGGCACUCUAGCGAGACUGCCGGUAAUAAACCGGAGGAAGGUGGGGAUGACGUCAAAUCAUCAUGCCCCUUAUGACCUGGGCUACACACGUGCUACAAUGGUUGGUACAACGAGUCGCAAGCCGGUGACGGCAAGCUAAUCUCUGAAAGCCAAUCUCAGUUCGGGUUGUAGGCUGCAACUCGCCUACAUGAAGUCGGAAUCGCUAGUAAUCGCGGAUCAGCACGCCGCGGUGAAUACGUUCCCGGGCCUUG
RNAcentral lists this ribosomal RNA (573 nucleotides) under uncultured bacterium. RNAcentral describes it as "bacterial SSU rRNA". It matches the Rfam family "Bacterial small subunit ribosomal RNA", at positions 810 to 1383 of the family's 1533-position model. The record is from RNAcentral.